This 1119-nucleotide ribosomal RNA is filed under the name Triticum aestivum (bread wheat). RNAcentral's name for it is "partial small subunit ribosomal RNA". The record is from RNAcentral. Lineage: Eukaryota; Viridiplantae; Streptophyta; Magnoliopsida; Poales; Poaceae.
AUGGCUCCCAAUAGAGCUCCUGGACCUGACAAUAUCCCGGUAGAAUUCUACCAAGUAUGCUGGGAUAUUGUCAAGGAUGAUAUCAUGGCCUUGUUUAGACACUUUCAUCGAGGGAUGUUGGAUGUUCAAAGGUUGAACUACGGGAUCAUCACUUUGCUCCCGAAGCUCUCUGGGGCUGACAAAAUCCAACAGUUCAGACCCAUUUGCUUGCUUCGUUGCCCUUAUAAACUCAUCACAAAAGUCCUAGACUGCCGAGUCUCGGUUUAUGCUGACAAGCUAAUUAGCCCAGUCCAGAAUUCCUUUGUCAAGGGUAGAAACAUUAUGGAUGGGGUGCUUUCACUCCAUGAAAUCCUUAAUUACACACAUGUGAAGAAAAAGGUUGGGGUGGUGUUAAAACUGGAUUUUGAAAAAGCGUAUGAUAAGGUUAACUGGGAGUUCCUAUUAGAAUGCCACAAGCUGCGGGGAUUCAAUGAUACCUGGUGUGGAUGGAUUAAUCAGAUCCUUCGGAAUGGCACGGUUAGCAUCAAGUUAAAUAACAGUGUGGGGCCGUACUUCCAAAGUGCGAAAGGGGUGCGACAAGGCGACCCUCACUCCCCAUUCUUGUUUAACUUAGCUGUCGAAUGCCUCACGAAGAUGAUAAAAAAUGCUCAGCGUAAUAAGUUGCUGGUUGGCUUAGCUGCGGACCUGAUCCCUGAUGGAGUUGCGGUACUUCAGUAUGCAGAUGACGCAAUUAUCUGUCUUGAGCAUGACAUCGAUAAAGCAGUCAACCUGAAGUUGCUGCUGUAUAUGUUCGAAAUGAUGUCCAGGUUGAAAGUUAAUUUUCAAAAAAGUGAAAUUCUGACGAUUGGGGGAGACGAUGCUGUGAUUAAGCAAUAUGCCGACCUCUUCAAUUGUGACAUAGGCAGCUUCCCCAUUAAAUAUUUGGGCAUGCCUAUUAGCUAUACUACCUUGAGAAAUUCCGAUUGGGAGUUCAUUGUUUGCAAAUAUUUGAAAAGAUUUGAUGCUUGGGUAGGUAAUGCUGCCUCCAUGGGAGGGAGACACACUUUAGUUGACUCUGUUGUCACUCAGAUAUCCCCUGUACCAUAUGUCCAUGUGGCUGAUGAACAAAACGUUCAUUGA